This 256-nucleotide signal recognition particle RNA is filed under the name Nanobdellota archaeon. RNAcentral describes it as "partial signal recognition particle sRNA". It matches the Rfam family "Archaeal signal recognition particle RNA". The record is from RNAcentral. Lineage: Archaea; Nanobdellati; Nanobdellota.
AGGUUAGCCGUCUUCUGUAACCACAAACCGGCUUCACGGUGGGGUUGAAGUCUUGGGAGAGGUGUACAUUUCGGUUGUUAGUCUCAGCCCGUACGAUGACGCUUUGUCCCGUUGGGCUGAUUUUCAUGAUAACUGGGUCAGGUCGGGAACGAAGCAGCCCUACUCGUGGAGGUUGGCGCUUUCGGGGUCGCAGAGCUGAGGAAAGGCUGAGGAAGCUAGCAGCUGAUCUUGCAUCCAUCCUCGGACGCGUCUGCCA